GACGAACGCUGGCGGCGUGCUUAACACAUGCAAGUCGAACGGAAAGGCCCUGCUUUUGUGGGGUGCUCGAGUGGCGAACGGGUGAGUAACACGUGAGUAACCUGCCCUUGACUUUGGGAUAACUUCAGGAAACUGGUGCUAAUACCGGAUAGGAGCUCCUGCUGCAUGGUGGGGGUUGGAAAGUUUCGGCGGUUGGGGAUGGACUCGCGGGUUAUCAGCUUGUUGGUGGGGUAGUGGCUAAGCAAGGGUUUGACGGGUAGCCGGCCUGGGCGGUUGACCGGCCACAUUGGUACUGCGAGACGGCGCAGACGCCUACGGGAGGCAGCGGUGGCAAAUAUUGCACAAUGGUCGGGAGCCUGAUGCAGCAACGCCGCGUGCGGGAUGACGUCCUUCGGGUUGUAAACCGCUUUCGCCUGUGACGAAGCGUGAAUGACGGUAAUGGGUAAAGAAGCACCGGCUAACUACGUG
RNAcentral lists this ribosomal RNA (468 nucleotides) under uncultured bacterium. RNAcentral describes it as "partial 16S ribosomal RNA". It matches the Rfam family "Bacterial small subunit ribosomal RNA", at positions 28 to 507 of the family's 1533-position model. The record is from RNAcentral.